AUUGCAGUGAAAUUUGAUUCCUCUUUUCUGAUGAAAAGGAUGACCUGAAAAAAGGACACAAGAAAAGCGGAUUUUUAUGAAAUUUUUGUGUUGUUAAAAGAAUAUAUACGAGACGGCCUAAUAAGAGAGGAAAAAAGAUCGGUUGCCUCCCCUCUGUUGGAAUGCAGCGUUGGAUUUUUGAAUGAGGGCGUAGAUGCCAGGCGAUUAGAGGCAGGAUUAUGCAAAUUGCUCUCACGGACGAGCACAUCAUGAGGCAAUUUGUGGGGUUCGUCGUCUGAUGCAGCAAAUAUUUUGGACAUCUAUUGGAGCACCGUGGAUACGGCAUGUUGUCAGAAAAUUGGGCGUCGUCGCAAGGGAGCAUCAGGUCAUCUCGUCGUCAAGGUACAUGUUUCAUUCUUGCAUGGAAUGUCGUCAGGUGUAUAAAGUAUCACAGAUGGUUGAGAGUCAGCAGUCAACAUCGUUAUAAAUAUUCAACAUUUAUAUUGCAAGGAAGAUGUACAGAGAAGACAAGUUAACUAUGUCACAAGGUUCGCAGAGAUGAUGCAGGCAUUGAGAACAGGAUUAAAGACAACAUGUAACAAGUAAUUCUGGCGGGGUGCUGUCAGUAGAUGUGCAUUCGCUUCUUUGUCAUAUUUCUCUUUGGAGAUAAUAUUUGGCGAAGGAUAAUGUCAUUAAUUCCUUUUCCUUUUUCCAGGUUUCCGGUGCUUAGGAGGUAAAAAAAAAAUUUGGGAAAAUUGGGGAAUACUCCGGGAGACUCUCCGUUCCCUCGACCACAACCGACUGGGCCCUGGAGCAGAAAGGAAGUGUGGCAUUAAAGCCCGCCAACGUAAUUUUGAAAUUAUAAAAUUGUUAAAUGUUAUUUGCUUUUUAAAAAUUGUUAAAGCCAAAGUCUA
This 893-nucleotide small RNA is filed under the name Drosophila ananassae. RNAcentral describes it as "GF26532". Lineage: Eukaryota; Metazoa; Arthropoda; Insecta; Diptera; Drosophilidae. The record is from RNAcentral.